Molecule: ribosomal RNA, 236 nt
Filed under: uncultured bacterium
Lineage: Bacteria
Description: partial 16S ribosomal RNA
Rfam family: Bacterial small subunit ribosomal RNA
Source: RNAcentral
GAUCAUGGCUCAGGAUGAACGCUAGCGGCAGGCUUAACACAUGCAAGUCGAGGGGCAGCAUAAUGGAUAGCAAUAUCUAUGGUGGCGACCGGCGCACGGGUGCGUAACGCGUAUGCAACCUACCUUUAACAGGGGGAUAACACUGAGAAAUUGGUACUAAUACCCCAUAAUAUCAUAGAAGGCAUCUUUUAUGGUUGAAAAUUCCGAUGGUUAGAGAUGGGCACGCGUUGUAUUAG